GAUAUGUGUGUGUGAGCCGCCGCGCCCGGUUGUUGCCCGGGGCGCGGCGGGAGAAGUGACCGCAAGACGCGUGCGGAUGAAGGCCUUCUGGUUAUAUCUGCUUUUGGGCGGACCGAAAAGGCUUCCACUAAUACUGGGGGCUCAUGACGGAACCGCAAGAAUAAGCACCGGCUAACUACCUGCCAGCAGCCGCGGUAAUU
This 200-nucleotide ribosomal RNA is filed under the name uncultured bacterium. RNAcentral's name for it is "partial 16S ribosomal RNA". The record is from RNAcentral.